This 277-nucleotide ribosomal RNA is filed under the name uncultured prokaryote. Its description in RNAcentral is "partial 16S ribosomal RNA". It matches the Rfam family "Bacterial small subunit ribosomal RNA", at positions 355 to 648 of the family's 1533-position model. The record is from RNAcentral.
UGAGGAAUAUUGCACAAUGGGCGAAAGCCAGAUGCAGCAACGCCGCGUGAGUGAAGAAGGCCUUCGGGUUGUAAAACUCUUUUCCAGGGGAAGAGGAAGGACGGUACCCUGGGAAUAAGCCUCGGCUAACUACGUGCCAGCAGCCGCGGUAAUACGUAGGAGGCGAGCGUUAUCCGGAUUUAUUGGGCGUAAAGGGCAAGUAGGCGGUUGUCAAAGUCGUGCGUGACAGAUCCCGGCUCAACUGGGGAAGGUCGUUCGAAACGAGGGGACUGGAGGG